GCGCUGGCGUCGCUGCUCAUCUCCUCAGUCUGCCGGCCGGGAGGGGCGGGGCUGGGGUGGGACGGCGCGGGGCUGCGGGACGGCGCGGCCGUGGCCCAACGGUGCGGCUGGCAGCAGGGAGGGGCGGGGCUGGGGCGAGGAGAGCCGUAGUUAUGGCACUCGGGGCACAGAUAGUCUUUGCCGAGAGCCAAAUUCGGCACUCGGCAAAGAUUUUUUUUUAUUAUUUUUUUUUGUCUCCAAACUUUUUGUACUUACUUUACACUUUAUUUUGAUGUGUAUGUUAAAAUUUUUCACGAUUCUAAAUAAAUUUCCUAUAUAUAUUUAAUUUAUUUCGCUUAAAUGUAUUUUUCCUAAAAAUACAAUAUUGAACUACAGAUGCAUCGAAUUAUAGGAUUCGAUAAUUGGAAAAAUUAUAUUCAGGAUACUCGUUAUAGUUUGAGGCCAUUUCUAGAAGCACGUCCAUAAUUUCGAAAAUCUUAUACACAAAAUAUGGCGAGAAAAUUAUGAGAGAAAUGCAUUUUAAUUAUACAAAUUAAAAAUGAAGUCCAAAAAUCAUAAAACCUAGCGACACGACUUGACAUCACAUGAGAAUGUUACGAUAAAUUUUUGAGAUCAUUUCGCGAAAGUUGUCACAUACGAUUGUUAUAAACCUAUACCUCUUAGUUCAUUUCACAUAUGAUCACAUGCGAGAGGUGUAGGUUUAUAACUAACGUACGUGACAACUUUUGGGAAACGUUCUCUAAUUUUUAUCAUAGCAUCUACAUGUGAUGUAAAGACAUGUUGCCAGGUUUUAAGAUUUUCGGACUUUAUUUGUAAUUUAUAUAAUUAAAAUGCAUUUCUGCCGCAAUUUUAUCGUCAUAUUUCUUGUAUAAGACGUUCGAAAUUUCGAGCGUGCUCCUGGAAAUGGUCUCAAACUAUAAUAAGUAUUGUGAAUAUCAUUUUUCCAAUCAACUAAUUCUAUGAUUCGAUGCACUUGUAGUUCAAUAUUGCAU
RNAcentral lists this long non-coding RNA (992 nucleotides) under Sorghum bicolor (sorghum). Its description in RNAcentral is "long non-coding RNA (SBIC_LNC011619)". Lineage: Eukaryota; Viridiplantae; Streptophyta; Magnoliopsida; Poales; Poaceae. The record is from RNAcentral.